UGCCAGCCGCCGCGGUAAUACGAAGGGUGCUAGCGUUGUUCGGAAUUACUGGGCGUAAAGCGCAUGUAGGCUGAUUUGAAAGUCAGAUGUGAAAGCCCUGGGCUCAACCCAGGAAUUGCAUUUGAAACUUCAUGUCUUGAGUGGUGGAGAGGGAAGCGGAAUUCCUGGUGUAGAGGUGAAAUUCGUAGAUAUCAGGAGGAACACCGGUGGCGAAGGCGGCUUCCUGGACACCUACUGACGCUGAGAUGCGAAAGCGUGGGGAGCAAACAGGAUUAGAUA
RNAcentral lists this ribosomal RNA (279 nucleotides) under uncultured bacterium. RNAcentral describes it as "partial 16S ribosomal RNA". It matches the Rfam family "Bacterial small subunit ribosomal RNA", at positions 506 to 784 of the family's 1533-position model. The record is from RNAcentral.